Molecule: ribosomal RNA, 120 nt
Organism: Oncorhynchus mykiss (rainbow trout)
Lineage: Eukaryota; Metazoa; Chordata; Actinopteri; Salmoniformes; Salmonidae
Source: Ensembl
GCUUACGGCCACACCGGCCUGAGUACACCUGAUCUCGUCCGAUCUCGGAAGCUAAGCAGGGUCGGGCCUGGUUCAGUACUUGGAUGGGAGACCGCCUGGGAAUACCAGGUGCUGUAAGCU